Molecule: ribosomal RNA, 700 nt
Filed under: uncultured bacterium
Lineage: Bacteria
Description: bacterial SSU rRNA
Rfam family: Bacterial small subunit ribosomal RNA
Source: RNAcentral
GCUAAUACCGGAUGUGCCGUACCUGCACAAGCAGGUCCGGUAAAGGGAGCUUCGGCUAUCCGCAAUUGGAGGAGCCUGCGGCGCAUUAGCUUGUUGGUGGGGUAACGGCCUACCAAGGCGACGAUGCGUAGCUGGUCUGAGAGGACGAUCAGCCACACUGGAACUGAGACACGGUCCAGACUCCUACGGGAGGCAGCAGUGGGGAAUCUUGCACAAUGGGCGACAGCCUGAUGCAGCAAUGCCGCGUGAGGGAAGACGGCCUUCGGGUUGUAAACCUCUUUCAGUUGGGAUGAAGGUCUAGCGGUUAAUAGCCGUGAGACUGACCGUACCUUCAGAAGAAGCUCCGGCUAACUACGUGCCAGCAGCCGCGGUAAUACGUAGGGGGCGAGCGUUGUCCGGAAUCAUUGGGCGUAAAGCGCGUGUAGGCGGUUCCGUAAGUCUGCUGUGAAAGUCGGAGGCUCAACCUUCGAAAGCCGGUGGAUACUGCGGGACUUGAGUCCGGAAGAGGAGAGUGGAAUUCCUGGUGUAGCGGUGAAAUGCGCAGAUAUCAGGAGGAACACCAACGGCGAAGGCAGCUCUCUGGGACGGUACUGACGCUGAGACGCGAAAGCGUGGGGAGCAAACAGGAUUAGAUACCCUGGUAGUCCACGCCGUAAACGAUGGUCACUAGAUGUGGGGGGGUGUCGACUCCCUCCGUGUC